Molecule: ribosomal RNA, 447 nt
Filed under: uncultured bacterium
Lineage: Bacteria
Description: bacterial SSU rRNA
Rfam family: Bacterial small subunit ribosomal RNA
Source: RNAcentral
UUCCAGACUCCUACGGGAGGCAGCAGUGGGGAAUAUUGCACAAUGGGGGAAACCCUGAUGCAGCAACGCCGCGUGAGUGAGGAAGUAUUUCGGUAUGUAAAGCUCUAUCAGCAGGGAAUAGAAAAGAAGGUACCUGAAAAAGAAGCCCCGGCUAACUACGUGCCAGCAGCCGCGGUAAUACGUAGGUGGCAAGCGUUAUCCGGAUUUACUGGGUGUAAAGGGCGUGUAGGCGGGACUGCAAGUCAGAUGUGAAAACCAUGGGCUCAACCUAUGGCCUGCAUUUGAAACUGUAGUUCUUGAGUACUGGAGAGGCAGACGGAAUUCCUAGUGUAGCGGUGAAAUGCGUAGAUAUUAGGAGGAACACCAGUGGCGAAGGCGGUCUGCUGGACAGCAACUGACGCUGAGGCGCGAAAGCGUGGGGAGCAAACAGGAUUAGAUACCCUCGUA